AAUGGAUCACAAAAUCAACACAAAUUGUAGGUCAAGGCAGAGGUACAAAUCCUUUGAAAUGAUAUAUAUUUAUACAGACAGAUGAUGGGCACUUAGGCACCCUUACCAUUAUUCCAUGGCUUAAGGACUCCCACUACUAUGACCACAACAAUGAUUAGAAGGAUUAUGAUGGCAAUGCACAUCCAUUUCCUAGAAUUCUUUUGCAGCUUCUUUGCCUUUUGAAGAGCAGUAUUCCCUUGUUGCACAUGAUCUACUGCACUUGUAACAUGUGAUUCAAUAUUGUCGAGCAUAUCCCCUUGCGCAUCCACCAAUACUGCCAUGUCGAGAAAUACCUGCUGUAGCUCGAGUAACUUCCUCUCCAGUUCUCUAACUGCACUGUGACGCUCUUGAAUUUCAGCUAGAGUGUCCAUUACCUGUCCUCGCCCUUGUUCUUGAAUUGCCUUCUGAAAAAUUUGUUCACUGUCCCCAGUUUCAAUUAAUUUCUCGAUGGUCUCUUCGUCAGCCCUAGCGCCCGUGACUGUGAAAACCCGUCUCUCAACAACCUCCUGGUACUCUUGAUGGAUUUUUUCCCGUAAAAUCUGGAAUUCAGUCAUCUUGUCUUUUAACUUCUUUUUUAAGGAAAGAGUAGUUGCUGUUCUUGAUCUAUCUACACCUGAUCCUUUUCCACACCCGGGCCUCUGCCUAUUUGCCAGAUUCUCUCUGUCAAGUUCUUCGACUUUGAUCUUCACAAAACGUGCAACUUUUCCAACUUCAUCGACAUCUUUUUCCAUCCGCUGCUUGAUUGCUGGAG
RNAcentral lists this unclassified non-coding RNA (790 nucleotides) under Hevea brasiliensis (rubber tree). Lineage: Eukaryota; Viridiplantae; Streptophyta; Magnoliopsida; Malpighiales; Euphorbiaceae. The record is from RNAcentral.